Molecule: long non-coding RNA, 390 nt
Organism: Equus caballus (horse)
Lineage: Eukaryota; Metazoa; Chordata; Mammalia; Perissodactyla; Equidae
Source: RefSeq, a predicted model, not a curated record
AUGUAGGUUUAUUGACUAGGAUGCUGAUGGGGUAUUCAUGGGUUUCUAAGGGAUAGAAGCCCUAGAAUGAUGACACCCAGUGCUCCUUUGAUCUGGUAGUUACACACCUUACUGGUCAUAGGUCCACCAACCCAGCAGAAAAGAAAGUACCAAUAAGCUGUUUCCACUCGAACAGAUAAUUCUACCUUCUGAAAGUAUCCUAGGAGCUGAGGAUGAAGACAGAGAUGAAUAAUGCAGGAGCCCUACUUCUAGUGCUGGGAAACAGAAGAAAUAAGUCCUACACAUGUAACACAGGACAAAAGUGACAUGGUUAAAGGCACAGACUCGAGCCAGACUACCUGACUUCAAGCUUAACUUUGCUUUUCACUAAUAAACAAAUUGCUUAAUCUC